GUGGGGAAUAUUGCACAAUGGGGGAAACCCUGAUGCAGCGACGCCGCGUGAGUGAAGAAGUAUUUCGGUACGUAAAGCUCUAUCAGCAAGGAAGAAAAUGACGGUACUUGACUAAGAAGCCCCGGCUAACUACGUGCCAGCAGCCGCGGUAAUACGUAGGGGGCAAGCGUUAUCCGGAUUUACUGGGUGUAAAGGGAGCGUAGACGGUAUGGUAAGUCAGAUGUGAAAGCCCGGGGCUCAACCCCGGGACUGCAUUUGAAACUAUCAGACUGGAGUGCAGGAGAGGUAAGUGGAAUUCCUAGUGUAGCGGUGAAAUGCGUAGAUAUUAGGAGGAACACCAGUGGCGAAGGCGGCUUACUGGACUGUAACUGACGCUGAGGCGCGAAAGUGUGGGGAGCAAACAGGAUUAGAAACCCGGGUAGUCC
Molecule: ribosomal RNA, 425 nt
Filed under: uncultured bacterium
Lineage: Bacteria
Description: partial 16S ribosomal RNA
Rfam family: Bacterial small subunit ribosomal RNA
Source: RNAcentral